UAAGCUUAAAAAAUAUUAUAAUAAUAAAAGUAGUCAUUCGAAAAUUUUAUUUACAAAACUAGUCUUAUGCGCUGAAUAAUUUAUCAUUUUUUUGUAAUUAAAAAAUAGAUUAAUUUCAUACAUGUCCCUAUAAAUAUAGUGAAUAGUAAAUAUAUCUCUACAAAAUUCAAUUUUCAUAUAUUGUAAAAUUCUGAUAUUUUCAAAUAUGUUUUUGUCAUUAGCAUCAGUUAGAAAAAAUUAGUUAACCAUAGGUUAAAUGCUUAACUCUAAUUAGUUUUUGACUUUUUCAGACCUUUAUAUUACACUAGAAUGGUUUUUGGAGGGAUAUAUUUGUGAUGGCAAAAUUGAAAAUAUAAACGGUUCUCUAACGGUAACAAACCAGAGAGACAUAUUUAAAAAUAUUAGGACUUUUGUAGGAACAACAUAUAAAAGUUGAAUUUUAUAAAAAUACAUUUGUCAUUCACUAUGUUUGCAGAAAUAUGUAUAAAACUAACUCUUAAAAAAUUCUAUAGAGUUAGUCGUGCAAAAAUCUCGACCACGGUCCAUGCAAUAAUUUCUCUUCUCACUCUCAAGCUAAGUGAUAAACUCAACUCAACUCAACUCAACU
This 607-nucleotide long non-coding RNA is filed under the name Ananas comosus (pineapple). RNAcentral describes it as "long non-coding RNA (ACOM_LNC002548)". Lineage: Eukaryota; Viridiplantae; Streptophyta; Magnoliopsida; Poales; Bromeliaceae. The record is from RNAcentral.